RNAcentral lists this transfer RNA (95 nucleotides) under Pseudomonadota bacterium. RNAcentral describes it as "tRNA-Sec". It matches the Rfam family "Selenocysteine transfer RNA". The record is from RNAcentral. RNAcentral also lists the same sequence under 1 other name. Lineage: Bacteria; Pseudomonadati; Pseudomonadota.
GGAGGUGGAUGGGUGCUGGUGUGCCUGACGGGCUUCAAACCCGCUCGCAAGCCCAAAAGGCUUGUGGUAGGUUCGAUUCCUACCCACCUCCGCCA